GUUGAGGUGGCCGAGUGGUUAAGGCGUUGGACUAGAAAUCCAAUGGGAUGUUCCCGCGCAGCUUAAAUCCUGCCCGCAACG
This 81-nucleotide transfer RNA is filed under the name Nematostella vectensis (starlet sea anemone). It matches the Rfam family "tRNA". Rfam says of the family: Transfer RNA (tRNA) molecules are approximately 80 nucleotides in length. Their secondary structure includes four short double-helical elements and three loops (D, anti-codon, and T loops). Lineage: Eukaryota; Metazoa; Cnidaria; Anthozoa; Actiniaria; Edwardsiidae. The record is from Rfam by way of RNAcentral.